GNGNNAGGAGAGCACAGCGAUAGCCUCAGUAACGGCGAGUGAAGCGGCUACAGCUCAAAUUUGAAAUCUGGCCUCCUUUGGGGGUCCGAGUUGUAAUUUGCAGAGGAUGCUUUGGCAUUGGCGGCGGUCUAAGUUCCUUGGAACAGGACAUCGCAGAGGGUGAGAAUCCCGUACGUGGGCGCCUGCCUUUGCCGUGUAAAGCUCCUUCGACGAGUCGAGUUGUUUGGGAAUGCAGCUCUAAAUGGGAGGUAAAUUUCUCCUAAAGCUAAAUACCGGCCAGAGACCGAUAGCGCACAAGUAGAGUGAUCGAAAGAUGAAAAGUACUUUGGAAAGAGAGUCAAAUAGCACGUGAAAUUGUUGAAAGGGAAGCGCUUGCAGCCAGACUUGCCCGCAGUUGCUCACCUAGGCUUUCGCCUGGGGCACUCUUCUGCGGGCAGGCCAGCAUCAGUUUGGGCGGUCGGAUAAAGGCCUCUGUCAUGUACCACCCCUCGGGGUGGCCUUAUAGGGGAGGCGUAAUGCGACCAGCCCGGACUGAGGUCCGCGCAUCUGCUAGGAUGCUGGCGUAAUGGCUGUAAGCGGCCCGUCUUGAAACACGGACCAAGGAGUCUAACAUCUAUGCGAGUGUUUGGGG
This 631-nucleotide ribosomal RNA is filed under the name Pseudopithomyces chartarum. Its description in RNAcentral is "partial large subunit ribosomal RNA". It matches the Rfam family "Eukaryotic large subunit ribosomal RNA", at positions 54 to 699 of the family's 3401-position model. The record is from RNAcentral. Lineage: Eukaryota; Fungi; Ascomycota; Dothideomycetes; Pleosporales; Didymosphaeriaceae.